AGGAUGUGAAAGAGAUACAGAUGACUGCAAUUAAGCAAUAUCGAGCAUUUGGUAAAUUUUGAUUCUGCCCUCCCAAAUAUCUUACGUGAUUUAUUUUUUGAACUUGGACUUGAACUACUUUGUGCGCUGACAAUGUAAAUUGAGUAGUAGUGCUUGUUUUAGUUACCUGAAUUCAAGGGCAUCUGACUUCUGACUGUUGAAGUGUAUAUUAAUAUCUUUGAUAAUUUGGGCUUCUCUUUUGUUCAGAAGUUUAUAAUGGCCUCUGAAGUGGAGAAUUUCAGGUGGAAAUAUAUGUUGCACUUCCAUUAAUUCAGUAAACUUUACGUAUUUAAUGGAAAAGGGGAAGUAUGAGCUUGAAGAUAGAAGAAAGCUAUAAAAACAAGUAUCGGUUCCAUGACUAAUGUGUUUCCCCUAUCAUAUAUCAUUCACAUAACGGAUUUGUUGCAAACACAAGGGGAGCUCAAAACACAAGAAAUCUGCUUAAAAGGCAGUCAAGGGAGCAAAUGUAUUGAAAAAAGAAACUAAAGAGGAAUACAAAUCCCCCCAACAGAUACAGGUCUCACACCCUUUUUUCCUUAGUCCUUCCCAUGAAAAGGGGAGUGCUUUAUGGGUUUGGUAAAAGCUUUUAUUAGAAUGAAAUGGCUCAUGGUAAGAAUCCAAGGUCUUGAUAAAGAGAUGAGAAAACCUCCAACCUGCUCCUAACUUGAUGCAUCCAACCAGUUACAGACUAAAGAUUGGUGCAGUUCCUCCAACAGAUACAGGUGGUACCCCCGAAAGCAUUGCAUAAAUUGGGGUUUCCAAAUAAUUGUACAUCGAAAAGCACCUCUAUCUCUUAUUGGGGAAAGGGUGGUUGGAACUUGGAAGGGACCUCUGUCCACAUGAGGGUCUACAUCAGUUAUAGAUUUUCAUGACUAGAAGAAAAUACAGAUUUAAUUGGUUUAGCCUUCUUAGUUAGGGUCCAUGUAUUAAUUGUUAUCUGAAAUUUGGUUCUCAUGUAGGCUAUACAUUAGAUCUUAUAUGUACACUUCUUGUAGGGUGAACUGGUGAAGGUGGAAUACGCAUUCAAUUUCCAAAGUA
Molecule: long non-coding RNA, 1077 nt
Organism: Macadamia integrifolia
Lineage: Eukaryota; Viridiplantae; Streptophyta; Magnoliopsida; Proteales; Proteaceae
Exons: 2
Source: RefSeq, a predicted model, not a curated record